Molecule: unclassified non-coding RNA, 301 nt
Organism: Callithrix jacchus (white-tufted-ear marmoset)
Lineage: Eukaryota; Metazoa; Chordata; Mammalia; Primates; Cebidae
Rfam family: Metazoan signal recognition particle RNA
About the family: The signal recognition particle (SRP) is a universally conserved ribonucleoprotein. It is involved in the co-translational targeting of proteins to membranes.
Source: Ensembl
GCUGGGUGCGGUGGUGCGUGCCGGUAGUCCCAGCCAGCUAUUCAGGAGGCUCAGGCUGGAGGAUCUCUUGAGCCCAGGAGUUCUGGGCUGUAGUGCGCUGUGCUGAUCAGGUGUCUGCACUGAGUUCAGCAUCAAUAUGGUGACCUCCCAGGAACGGGGGACCACCAGGUUGCCUAAGGAGGGUUGAACCAGCCCAGGUCAGAGACAGAGCAGGUCAAAACUCCUGUGCUGAUCAGUAGUGGGAUCACACCUGUGAAUAGCCACUGCACUCCAGCCUGGGCAACAUAGCAAGACCUUGUUU